AGAGUUUGAUCCUGGCUCAGGACGAACGCUGGCGGCGUGCCUAAUACAUGCAAGUAGAACGCUGAAGACUUUAGCUUGCUAGAGUUGGAAGAGUUGCGAACGGGUGAGUAACGCGUAGGUAACCUGCCUACUAGCGGGGGAUAACUAUUGGAAACGAUAGCUAAUACCGCAUAACAGUGUUUAACACAUGUUAGAUGCUUGAAAGAUGCAAUUGCAUCACUAGUAGAUGGACCUGCGUUGUAUUAGCUAGUUGGUGGGGUAACGGCCUACCAAGGCGACGAUACAUAGCCGACCUGAGAGGGUGAUCGGCCACACUGGGACUGAGACACGGCCCAGACUCCUACGGGAGGCAGCAGUAGGGAAUCUUCGGCAAUGGGGGCAACCCUGACCGAGCAACGCCGCGUGAGUGAAGAAGGUUUUCGGAUCGUAAAGCUCUGUUGUAAGAGAAGAACGUGUGUGAGAGUGGAAAGUUCACACAGUGACGGUAACUUACCAGAAAGGGACGGCUAACUACGUGCCAGCAGCCGCGGUAAU
RNAcentral lists this ribosomal RNA (534 nucleotides) under Streptococcus sp. W14. Its description in RNAcentral is "bacterial SSU rRNA". It matches the Rfam family "Bacterial small subunit ribosomal RNA", at positions 8 to 524 of the family's 1533-position model. Lineage: Bacteria; Bacillati; Bacillota; Bacilli; Lactobacillales; Streptococcaceae. RNAcentral also lists the same sequence under 5 other names. The record is from RNAcentral.